Molecule: transfer RNA, 69 nt
Filed under: Rattus norvegicus (Norway rat)
Lineage: Eukaryota; Metazoa; Chordata; Mammalia; Rodentia; Muridae
Rfam family: tRNA
About the family: Transfer RNA (tRNA) molecules are approximately 80 nucleotides in length. Their secondary structure includes four short double-helical elements and three loops (D, anti-codon, and T loops).
Source: Rfam by way of RNAcentral
GGGGAUUUAGCUCAGUGGUAGAGCGCUUGCCUAGAAAGUGCAAGGUCCUGGGUUCGAUCCCCAGCUCCG